This 988-nucleotide long non-coding RNA is filed under the name Gallus gallus (chicken). The record is from RNAcentral. Lineage: Eukaryota; Metazoa; Chordata; Aves; Galliformes; Phasianidae.
CGGAGCCGUCGGCCCGGCCCGCCCCAGGCUCCGCUCGGCAGCGCAGAGCGGACGCGCAGCCUGAUCGCUUGGGGGGGGGUUCCCGGCGCAAUAAAAGGCUUUUAAGGGAGCAGCACCCGGCUCGUCCCAGGAGAAAGGCGGCAGCAGGGGAAAGUGUUCAAUAAUCCUGAUGAGGGUUGCACAGCUGAGUGCUGUUGCAGCACUACUUCAGAGGAGCACAUCUCUGAAUACUUAUGGAGCCUUGUCCUACAGGCAGAAGUACGUUAACAAGUAAGCGAGGACUCAAAGUGAAUCAGUGCCCACACUCAAGUUACAGCUUUGUUUCCAGCUAUUACAGUCUAGCCAUACUAACUAAAACAGCUAAUAAUACUAGUGCAUUGUAGCCACAGUAGGCAUUGUAGCCUUUACUGAGCAAGUUAAGUCCAUGCACUUGGAUGUCUUUGUGGCCAGUAUAUGAGCCACUUUGUAAAAGCUCACCUACGUGUGUUGGGAUCACACUGUUCAGAAAGUUUUAAGCAUUAGUGUUUUCUUCAACAAGAAACUACUGCAUUGUGAGACAUCCAUAAUCUCAGAGAACCUGAAUGUAUGGGAUGCUUCUCCCUCUGGGGUGAAGUGUCAGGUUUGCAGCUGUUUCCCAAAAAGGAGUUCAGAAUUUUGAAAAGCUUUACUCACUUCAGAUCACGUUUUGAGGACAGACUAGUUGAUGUCACCAAGUGAACUAAACACCAGAUCAUUGCUGUUUUUGUUCUAGUUCUGUUUAACAUAAAGGAACUCUGACAAAAUUCAUGGACAUUUGCUGCCUUUGAGAGCUGUUAAACUAAACCACCAGUGAGCUUGUUCAUUCAAUGGCAGGACAGUGUGGCUGUGAACACGAUGCUGCUCAUUCCUGAGAUGUGGUAAUGUCCAAAUGCCUCAGAAUCUGACAGCAGCAACCUGGCAAGAGGAGAAGUCACUUGUCUGCUUUGGAAAAUCCCCACAACUAAGUGCA